This 399-nucleotide ribosomal RNA is filed under the name uncultured bacterium. RNAcentral describes it as "bacterial SSU rRNA". It matches the Rfam family "Bacterial small subunit ribosomal RNA", at positions 358 to 773 of the family's 1533-position model. The record is from RNAcentral.
GGAAUAUUGCGCAAUGGGGGCAACCCUGACGCAGCAACGCCGCGUGGAGGAUGAAGGUCUUCGGAUUGUAAACUCCUUUUCUUGGGGAAGAGAACGGACGGUACCUGAGGAAUAAGUCACGGCUAACCACGUGCCCGCAGCAGCGGUAAUACGUAGGUGGCAAGCGUUAUCCGGAAUUACUGAGCGUAAAGCGCACGCAGGCGGCCUUUUAAGAUGGACGUGAAAGCUCCUGGCUUAACCGGGAGAGGUCGUUGAAGACUGGAAGGCUUGAGACAAUGAGAGGGGUGCGGAAUUCCCGGUGUAGUGGUGGAAUGCGUAGAUAUCGGGAGGAACACCAGUGGCGAAAGCGGCACCCUGGCAUUGGACUGACGCUCAUGUGCGAAGGCGUGGGGAGCGAAC